UUCUUGGAGAGUUUGAUCCUGGCUCAGGACGAACGCUGGCGGCGUGCCUAAUACAUGCAAGUCGAGCGAAUCUUAAGGUGCUUGCACCUUUUGGUUAGCGGCGGACGGGUGAGUAACACGUGGGCAACCUGCCUGUAAGACUGGGAUAACUUCGGGAAACCGGAGCUAAUACCGGAUAAUCCUUUUCCUCUCAUGAGGAAAAGCUGAAAGUCGGUUUACGCUGACACUUACAGAUGGGCCCGCGGCGCAUUAGCUAGUUGGUGAGGUAACGGCUCACCAAGGCGACGAUGCGUAGCCGACCUGAGAGGGUGAUCGGCCACACUGGGACUGAGACACGGCCCAGACUCCUACGGGAGGCAGCAGUAGGGAAUCUUCCGCAAUGGACGAAAGUCUGACGGAGCAACGCCGCGUGAGCGAUGAAGGCCUUCGGGUCGUAAAGCUCUGUUGUUAGGGAAGAACAAGUACCGGAGUAACUGCCGGUACCUUGACGGUACCUAACCAGAAAGCCACGGCUAACUACGUGCCAGCAGCCGCGGUAAUACGUAGGUGGCAAGCGUUGU
RNAcentral lists this ribosomal RNA (560 nucleotides) under Neobacillus niacini. RNAcentral's name for it is "bacterial SSU rRNA". It matches the Rfam family "Bacterial small subunit ribosomal RNA", at positions 1 to 544 of the family's 1533-position model. The record is from RNAcentral. Lineage: Bacteria; Bacillati; Bacillota; Bacilli; Caryophanales; Bacillaceae.